GGAGGCGGAUUGGGCCCGGUGGCCCUCCUGGUCUUCAAAACCAGCGGCGGGCCUAAUAAGCCCGCGGUGGGUUCGACCCCCACACGCCUCCGCCA
Molecule: transfer RNA, 95 nt
Filed under: Methylomirabilis sp. (SeqCode)
Lineage: Bacteria; Methylomirabilota (SeqCode); Methylomirabilia (SeqCode); Methylomirabilales (SeqCode); Methylomirabilaceae (SeqCode)
Also listed under: 2 other names
Description: tRNA-Sec
Rfam family: Selenocysteine transfer RNA
Source: RNAcentral